UUUUGUUUUAAAWAUAAAGUAUAACCUGCCCMUUGAUAUUUUUAAAAGGCUGCGGUAUUUUGACCGUACAAAGGUAGCAUAAUCAUUAGUUUUUUAAUUAAGAACUUGUAUGAAUGGUUGGAUGAGAAAUAUACUUUUUUAAUAUAAAAAUUGAAUUUUACAUUUUAAUUAAAAGGUUAAAAUAUUUUUAAAAGACGAGAAGACCCUAUAGAGUUUUAUAAUUUAUAUUUAAUGUAAAAAAAAAUUAAUAAAUAUUUUUAUUUAAAUAAUUAUUUUGUUGGGGUGACGAUAAAAUUUAAUUAACUUUUAUUUUUUUUUUACAUUAAUAUAUGAAGGAUUGAUCCAUUAUUAGUGAUUAAAAAUUUAAAUUACCUUAGGGAUAACAGCGUAAUUUUUUUUUUAAGUUCAUAUUAAUAAAAAAUUUUGCGACCUCGAUGUUGGAUUAAGAUUUAAUUUUAGGUGCAGAAGUUUAAAAUUUAAKUCUGUUCRACUUUUAAAUUCUU
This 503-nucleotide ribosomal RNA is filed under the name Pseudolycoriella dagae. RNAcentral describes it as "partial 16S ribosomal RNA". Lineage: Eukaryota; Metazoa; Arthropoda; Insecta; Diptera; Sciaridae. The record is from RNAcentral.